Molecule: ribosomal RNA, 484 nt
Filed under: Streptococcus sp. oral taxon 064
Lineage: Bacteria; Bacillati; Bacillota; Bacilli; Lactobacillales; Streptococcaceae
Description: bacterial SSU rRNA
Rfam family: Bacterial small subunit ribosomal RNA
Source: RNAcentral
GACGAACGCUGGCGGCGUGCCUAAUACAUGCAAGUAGAACGCUGAAGAGAGGAGCUUGCUCUUCUUGGAUGAGUUGCGAACGGGUGAGUAACGCGUAGGUAACCUGCCUGGUAGCGGGGGAUAACUACUGGAAACGAUAGCUAAUACCGCAUAAUAGUAGAUGUUGCAUGACAUUUGCUUAAAAGGUGCAAUUGCAUCACUACCAGAUGGACCUGCGUUGUAUUAGCUAGUUGGUGAGGUAACGGCUCACCAAGGCAACGAUACAUAGCCGACCUGAGAGGGUGAUCGGCCACACUGGGACUGAGACACGGCCCAGACUCCUACGGGAGGCAGCAGUAGGGAAUCUUCGGCAAUGGACGGAAGUCUGACCGAGCAACGCCGCGUGAGUGAAGAAGGUUUUCGGAUCGUAAAGCUCUGUUGUAAGAGAAGAACGAGUGUGAGAGUGGAGAGUUCACACUGUGACGGUAUCUUACCAGAAGGGCGG